This is a long non-coding RNA of Amphiprion ocellaris (clown anemonefish), 1421 nucleotides long. The record is from Ensembl. NCBI's taxonomy places the organism in Eukaryota, Metazoa, Chordata, Actinopteri, Pomacentridae.
CUUUCUUUAGGUCGCCCGUCUCAUCGAUAAAUCAUCCUAAAUACAUUUAAACCACUAGACUUCAUUCACGAACACGGAGCAUUAGCAUUUUUUUCAUUACCACACUCCAAAUAAUUUUCCUGUACGUUUAUUAAAUACUUUUAUUAUAGGCGACCACUAUUAUUUUAAGAAAAAGCAACACAAACAAACAAACAAACAAUCCAAAACAAAAAAGCAAAACAACAACAACAACACGUGAGGUGCGUCGGGAGGCGCCCUGUCUCACGCUGUCCGGAACGGCAGGCAGGUUGGAUUUCUCACGGAAAGGGACCACAUCCCCAAAUCGCUCGUAAUUUCCUGAAAGCUGCUGCAUUCCAGAAAUUCCAGAAAGACAGGAGAGAGUUUGCUUCAAACUGCCUUCAUAGCCAAGAUACAGGAUACAUCGAGCUGGAGCCAAAAGGUUGAUGGUCCAGUGCCAUAAUGGCAACAGGACACUGCAGGUAUCCUCCAUCACCCAAUAGAAAGUACCCAGCUAAUGGAUACAGGAUCUGCUGGUGAUUUACACAAAACAAGUGUCUCAUGUAUAGAUCAUGGCUUCCAAGUGUACAUGGAUCCAGGCAGAAUAUUGUUGUACCCCUGGCAUCACAGAUGCCCUACAAUAUCAGUGAAUGGACAAUGGGUCUUUUGUGACUCUGCAGGAGGAAAAUGUAGAAUGUAGCAUUCAUUAAUGGCACCAACAGUACAGCAGAAUGCAACCUGACUGUCCAGGUGAGCUGGGAAAACCACACAUACAGGUGGAGCACAUUAAGGCAAGACAGGUAAUCAAUCAGGCGGGAAAGCAGACAAAGACCAAGAAAUGUAAAGACACCUGAGACAGAGGGCAAGUACAAACAAAUGACAGGAAAUGCCAUAAUAAAACAAGAAUGAACUGAAAUAGGAACUAACAGUGGGAGCUGGAUGUGACACUGAUAGAUCCAUCAAUGGGCUUUGUUCCAGUUCAGCAUCUGGACCAGCAUCUUAAUGUUCUCCCUGGACACCCUAAAGACUGCUGUCAAGCUAGCUCCAGACAAAAAUGUGGCAAGGACAGAUGCAUUGUUGUAGAUUGGUUAAAUAAGAGAAAUCUUAUCACAGAUUUUUGACAUUAUUCUUUAGCGGUUGCAAUAUUUGAUGUGUAUUAUAUUUGUGUGUUUUUACUAUUGUAUGAUCUGUAGAAAUAUAUCAAAAUUAAAUUUCACUUCAACUUUUGACUUGUUUUGUGAAACACCUGCUGAUGCUUGAUAAUUCUUUCUUUGCUUGAUAGCCAGUAUUUGUAAAAUGUAUGUAAUCUUUAGAGAAAGAUGAAAUUUGUGUUUAUUGCAGUGAUUAAUGAGCUCAAUGUGAAAGGCUUAUCAGACAGUAUGAUUUAUAGUAAGGCCGAUAAAUAUCUGGACAUUGACACAAUU